RNAcentral lists this transfer RNA (59 nucleotides) under Stylochoplana maculata. Its description in RNAcentral is "tRNA-Leu". Lineage: Eukaryota; Metazoa; Platyhelminthes; Polycladida; Leptoplanidae. The record is from RNAcentral.
GGUAUGGCAGAUAAAUGCGCUGGAUUUAAGCUCCAGAGAUGAGAUAUUUUUACUCUUCC